Pelobates cultripes (western spadefoot toad) is the source of this 303-nucleotide non-coding RNA. NCBI's taxonomy places the organism in Eukaryota, Metazoa, Chordata, Amphibia, Anura, Pelobatidae. The record is from the annotation of a GenBank genome assembly.
CGGCAUUCCGAGCAUUACCCCCAAAAUGAGAGGGUGGUGAGAGGGAUACAGAUGGGGCCUUGUAAACUAUGGGUACAACAGCGACAGGAGGGGCUGGAGGAGGCCAUUGAUCCUCCGACUGGAGGUGAGCAGUAAGAGCCAACAAUGUCUGAAAGGCCUGGGCGAAUUGAUCCAUAUGGUGAUCAUUUUCUUCCAGCCUUCUUUCACAAGCCAACAUGUGUUGACUUAACUCUGCAGGGUCCACAACCCUGUCAUAAUGUCAGGACGAACCUGUGGCCCAACACGCAGAAGUAUGGAACACGG